UGGGCCUGAUAAGGUGGUUCUUGCCCACCGGGGAGGAGCCUGGGGCUCCUGUGUGGUGAGGGGGCUCUGGGGAAGGCCCUAGCUGAUGAGGAGAGGCUUUGCUGGGUUCUGUGGGGGACCCUGGGGGCUGCUGAAAUGAGAGUGGAAUGAAGAUCUGAAGGAGACCAGACUGAAGGAUGUAUUUGAUCACCAAGAGUUAAUUAUUAAAGAGGGAAAGGAACAUUCAUUUCAAAAGCAGAUGGUUUUCUACAUUCACAGUAAACUGGCAGCAAGGCAGUUUUCCUCCAGCUCUGUGGUCCUUUAUCAAUAUGCAGCUAAGUAUCAAAUGAAAAUAAAUAAUGGAAAGAACAUUGCAUUAAUUUUUUCCCCCUCCAUGAGAGAAUAAUAUGGCCUUGUCUUACCAGUCACCAAAGGAAAGAAGACAAAGAGGUUAAAGUUUCGGGAUUUAUUUCUGGAUCUGCAUGGUUUACUGAUUUACAUGCCAUGGAGCAUCUGCUCGUCAAAUUACAGGUUGUAUCAGUCCUCUGAGCAUCACUGAACGUUUCAAGACACGUUGUUUAUGAAGCAUGAUCCCAGCAGAUCCUCCACAAGAACAAAAAGUGGCAUGCAGGUCUCAAAGGGAAGAGAAGAGACCCAGAAAGGUGCUAACAAGGACAUCGUAAUAAGACAACACAAUAUUAACAGAGGAUGGAGCAGUGAAACAGAAGACUGAAGAUGGAAGAUAGCAACACUGCAAAAAGGAGAAAAAGAAAUACAGAUCCAGCUUCGUGCCUGCCUUUGGUACAGAGGUGAUAAGAGAUGAUGAGUGAGGAGUGGCUGCAGCCAAGCAGGAUGCGGGGUGUGCGCAGGGAGUGCAGUACCAGCAGCCGUCACCCAUCUGUCCCCAUGUCCUGGGGCGAUGGCAGAGAACAUGCAAUCAGCACAUCCCUAGGCCAAUUAUAAAUCAUAAAAUAUCACCAUCAAAUAACAGAGAAUCGGUUGGAAGGGAGCCGUGGAGGACUCAGGAUCAGACCUGACUCUGGCCCAGAGCAGGGCCGGCCUCGGCGCUGGGUGAGCUCGGGCCAGGUUUCUCAGGGCCUUGUCCGUUCAGGUUUGGAACAUCUCCAGGACCCCACAGCCUCCGUGGACAGCCUGCUUGUGCUUCGUUUUCUCCACUGUAAAAUCUUGCCAGGUGUCAAAUGCCCCUCUCAGAACAUCCUGGCUUUCUGAUCAGUGCUGAGGUAGGCGUGGCAGCUCCCGACACCCAGUCUUUGAACCUCACGAAUGCAAUUAAAAAGCACGUAUUUUCAGUCUUUCCAUUUCCUCCAGGCAUUAUGAGUUUGAAGACAACCUUUUGCAGAAUUUAUGAUCUCUAUUUGUGAUUCAGAGCUAUUCAUUCAAUUAUAUGUGCCUGGCUUUGUAGGAGUGCCAGGAGCUUAAAGACAUCUGUUUCUUAGGCUUGCUACCACUGCCUUCCCCCAGGAUGCUUUACCUGGUAAUAGGAUUUAUUCUAUUUCUCUCAUGCAGUCCCCUCGUUAAAGUACACAGGGACAUCAGCCAUGCAAAAUGCACAUUACACCUCCCUAAAUUGGUAUAAAUUCUUAUUCUACAGGAAUGCCAAAAGGCCAGGAAAGGAUGUGUGAGUUCUCUUGCACUGAGGACUACAUACAUACAGUCCAGAUUGGCUUACAUGAGAAUUUAAGACGGUUAAAAGAAGGCAAAGAAGGUUAAUGGAAGGACUGGAGAAGCAACGUAAACACUGCUGGCCAUAAACUCUCACUGAAUUGCAGUGCACUUAUUAUAUCAACAUAUUGUUACUGCUCUAUUAUUUGUAUGCUUUAUGUAUGUGGAUAAAUAUUUAUGAGUAUUUCUCAUUUUCAGUUUCAUUCUAGGAAUUGUUAUGACUGAAUAAGCACCUCUGUGUAUGUCGUCUUCAGAAGGGCUGUCAUCAGGAGACUGCAGCAGCUCUCUGGGCUGAUCCAGGGACUGGGCUGAUCCAGGGACUCAUUGUAAUUCCCAGCUCAUAGCACUUGAAGGAUCAAUAUCAUUAUUGUUAAUGGUCAUUGCAUGCAUGAUUCAAGAUGAAAACAGCUGCCAAAUGUUGAAUCACACUCAGACAAACCAUCUCAGUGCUGUGCCGUGGCAGCACGUUCCCAGCUAAGCGUGAGUACAUGGUGUGUCAGCCCUGCUGUCCGAAUUAUGGGGACACACGCCACACUGACGUGACAGGCUGUUUCCACAAACUGUUUUCAGAUUGUAGCUUUAUUUCUGACUAUGGGAAACAGUACAGCCAAGGGUCAGUGGAAGAAGUAUUAUCCUUUCAUAAAAUUGUAUAGUUUCUUGCUUUGAAUUGUUGUGUAUCAGGGAUACGCAAAGACAUUCAGGUGCCCAGGAGUACCAAUGAAUGUCUUGGGAUUUAGGUAUGCAGCCCUGUAUUUAUACUUUGCGUGUUUUGAAAUGCAUACUGCUAUUUCAAAAUUUGGCUCUUGAACAUUGCAUUGCAAUUUAAAAUAUGUGGUCUGACUUUAAUAGAUAUAAAGAGUUCAUGUAAAGAUAAUUUUUUUCUUAAAAAUACAUUUGCCCUUAUUCAGUACAGUUGACAGUCUUGGUUCACCAGAGUACCUAAAAGAAAACCAUAAUAAUCAGCUGUGUAAAAGUGAUUUUAUAGUACAAAUUGGCUUUCUGGGACUGAGGGAGUAUUUUGAUUGUUAUUUUCUCAGUGGAAUAGAUUGAUGUGACAUCUGAAAUGACAGUCAGGAAUAGAUUCUGAGCUGCCACCUUCAUCUCUUAAUUAGUACAAGUAAUUCUUUUGAACAAAAUAUGGUUAUCAUCGAGUUCAUUUUGUCCCAGUGAGAUUAAAGAGUGCUUGAAUUUCACUUUUUUUUUGUCCCAGGGGUGGGAUAAUCCCUGUAAUUACAUCAUAUUUUCCACUGUUAUUCAUGCAUCAUCUCUAGUGAUACUGGGAUCUUCUGCAGAUCACUUUGAAUAUAUUAGACAAGCCUUGCCAAUACACUUCUCAUUCAGCAGCUGAAGAUUGCUCUAAUGGAAGCUGCUACUUUGAGUGAUAUAAAGUUCCCCUCAUUGCUUGUUAAGUAUAUGAAAAUGCUGUUAAAUGCAGUUUUUCAACCUCUCUAUAUUCAAAAUAUCAUAAAUACUGGGAUUUCAGUGUGUAUAAAGUUGUAGCUAAUUGUUAUUCCCAUUCAUGAAUUUAGUGGUGAAUGUUAGGAAGUUGCACAGUUAAAAAACUGCAUGUGGAAGUAUUCAGCUGGGCUAUAGCUGUCCUGGGGAAAGGACAAUCUGGAGUUCUGUAUACCUUGGGAUGUAUCACAAAUUUAUUUCUCUCUAUUGUAUUAAAUCUGCAACUCAUCAGUAAACACACGAUUGCAGUUGUUGGUCACUCUUCCCUUUGUCUAAGAGAAGCUUGA
Long non-coding RNA from Cygnus olor (mute swan), 3404 nucleotides. RefSeq lists it as uncharacterized. The transcript is spliced from 7 exons. The record is from RefSeq and is a predicted model, not a curated record. NCBI's taxonomy places the organism in Eukaryota, Metazoa, Chordata, Aves, Anseriformes, Anatidae.